GCCCGGGUAGCUCAGUGGAUAGAGCAGCGGUUUCCUAAACCGUUGGUCGCAGGUUCAACUCCUGUUUCGGGCACCA
This 76-nucleotide transfer RNA is filed under the name Lentisphaerota bacterium. RNAcentral describes it as "Lentisphaerae bacterium (feces metagenome) tRNA-Arg". It matches the Rfam family "tRNA". From Rfam's summary of the family: Transfer RNA (tRNA) molecules are approximately 80 nucleotides in length. Their secondary structure includes four short double-helical elements and three loops (D, anti-codon, and T loops). Further hydrogen bonds mediate the characteristic L-shaped molecular structure. tRNAs have two regions of fundamental functional importance: the anti-codon, which is responsible for specific mRNA codon recognition, and the 3' end, to which the tRNAs corresponding amino acid is attached (by aminoacyl-tRNA synthetases). tRNAs cope with the degeneracy of the genetic code in two manners: having more than one tRNA (with a specific anti-codon) for a particular amino acid; and 'wobble' base-pairing, i.e. permitting non-standard base-pairing at the 3rd anti-codon position. The record is from RNAcentral. Lineage: Bacteria; Pseudomonadati; Lentisphaerota.